GCCUCUAUAGCUCAAAGGUAGAGCAUCUGUUUUGUAAACAGGGGGUUGAGGGUUCGAUUCCCUCUAGAGGCU
This 72-nucleotide transfer RNA is filed under the name Candidatus Pacearchaeota archaeon. RNAcentral describes it as "tRNA-Thr". It matches the Rfam family "tRNA". From Rfam's summary of the family: Transfer RNA (tRNA) molecules are approximately 80 nucleotides in length. Their secondary structure includes four short double-helical elements and three loops (D, anti-codon, and T loops). Lineage: Archaea; Nanobdellati. The record is from RNAcentral.